Molecule: ribosomal RNA, 163 nt
Filed under: uncultured bacterium
Lineage: Bacteria
Description: partial 16S ribosomal RNA
Rfam family: Bacterial small subunit ribosomal RNA
Source: RNAcentral
GUAAUCGCGGAUCAGCAUGCCGCGGUGAAUACGUUCCCGGGCCUUGUACACACCGCCCGUCACACCAUGAGAGUCGGGAACACCCGAAGUCCGUAGCCUAACCGCAAGGAGGGCGCGGCCGAAGGUGGGUUCGAUAAUUGGGGUGAAGUCGUAACAAGGUAUC